GACGAACGCUGGCGGCGUGCUUAACACAUGCAAGUCGAGCGGUAAGGCCCUUUCGGGGGUACACGAGCGGCGAACGGGUGAGUAACACGUGGGUGACCUGCCCUUAGCUCUGGGAUAAGCCUGGGAAACUGGGUCUAAUACCGGAUAUGACUCCAUGACGCAUGUUGUGGGGUGGAAAGCCUUGUGCGGCUAGGGAUGGGCCCGCGGCCUAUCAGCUUGUUGGUGGGGUGANGGCCUACCAAGGCGACGACGGGUAGCCGGCCUGAGAGGGCGACCGGCCACACUGGGACUGAGACACGGCCCAGACUCCUACGGGAGGCAGCAGUGGGGAAUCUUGCGCAAUGGGCGAAAGCCUGACGCAGCGACGCCGCGUGGGGAUGACGGCCUGGU
This 390-nucleotide ribosomal RNA is filed under the name uncultured bacterium. RNAcentral's name for it is "bacterial SSU rRNA". It matches the Rfam family "Bacterial small subunit ribosomal RNA", at positions 28 to 420 of the family's 1533-position model. The record is from RNAcentral.